This 361-nucleotide transfer RNA is filed under the name uncultured Microcystis sp. RNAcentral describes it as "partial 16S-23S ribosomal RNA intergenic spacer". The stretch from base 136 to 209 matches the Rfam family "tRNA". The record is from RNAcentral. Lineage: Bacteria; Bacillati; Cyanobacteriota; Cyanophyceae; Chroococcales; Microcystaceae.
AAAGGGAGACCUAAUUCAGGUAGGAGACGAAAAAAAAGUAGUCGCUACCAAGAAUCAAUCCCAAAAGGUCGGAGCGAGGCGAAAUUGGCUUUCAAACUAGGUUCUGGGUUCACACAAGACCUGAAUCAGGAACAAGGGCUAUUAGCUCAGGUGGUUAGAGCGCACCCCUGAUAAGGGUGAGGUCCCUGGUUCGAGUCCAGGGUGGCCCACCUGCACAGGUGGAAGAAAGAAAAGAAGCUCCGAAUCAGCACCUUAUCUUACUUAUAUAGUAAGAGAGAAUGCUGGCUCUGAGUACAGAGUCCAGAGGAACCUUGAAAACUGCAUAGAGCUAGGUGAAAAAGCCAAAAAAGAAGACCGCAAG